AGUGGGGAAUCUUCCGCAAUGGACGAAAGUCUGACGGAGCAACGCCGCGUGAACGAUGAAGGCCUUCGGGUCGUAAAGUUCUGUCCUUUGGGAAGAAUACUUUAGUUACUAAUACUAGCUAGAGUUGACGGUACCUUUGGAGGAAGCUCUGGCUAACUACGUGCCAGCAGCCGCGGUAAUACGUAGAGAGCAAGCGUUGUCCGGAAUCAUUGGGCGUAAAGGGUACGCAGGCGGUCUAUUAAGUCAGAGGUGAAAUCCAACAGCUCAACUGUUGAACUGCCUUUGAUACCGGUAGACUUGAGGAUAAGAGAAGAAAACGGAAUUCCUAGUGUAGCGGUGAAAUGCGUAGAUAUUAGGAAGAAUACCGAUGGUGAAAGCAGUUUUCUAACUUAUUCCUGACGCUCAGGUACGAAAGCUAGGGUAGCAAACGGGAUUAGAUACCCCGGUAGUCCUAGCCGUAAACGAUGGAUACUAGGUGUUGGGGGUUCGACCCCCUCGGUGCUGCAGUUAACGCAUUAAGUAUCCCGCCUGGGGAUUACGACCGCAAGGUUG
This 552-nucleotide ribosomal RNA is filed under the name uncultured bacterium. RNAcentral describes it as "bacterial SSU rRNA". It matches the Rfam family "Bacterial small subunit ribosomal RNA", at positions 353 to 896 of the family's 1533-position model. The record is from RNAcentral.